Molecule: long non-coding RNA, 673 nt
Organism: Gastrolobium bilobum
Lineage: Eukaryota; Viridiplantae; Streptophyta; Magnoliopsida; Fabales; Fabaceae
Exons: 3
Source: RefSeq, a predicted model, not a curated record
UAAGUUUACAUUCUUCCUCUCUUCUAAUUAUUCGACUGAAGCUCAGCCUUGAGGAGGUGAGGUUCCCCUUUUGUAAUUUUUCCUUGUCUACUCUUGCUCCAUUCGACUCGAUGAUGACUACCGAUUGCUUGUAGAUUAGAGCCUAAGUUAAUUCAAUCCCUAUCACCCUUGAUCCAGCCGUGGACCAUCACCAAGGAGCUGAGAACCUAAUCCUUGAAGAGUGGAUAGCCAUCCUUGCAUCCAAUCAGAACCGUGCCCUUAGGAGAGUGGAAGAGUAAGGAAUAAAGCACAAAUCAAACUUCAUGUUUCUGUUUUCUUUUGUUUGGCCACUGUAUGUAGCCUAAGAGGAUGCAAUUGUGCCAUUCCUCACCCCUUGCUCCUGCACUUUGGAACCGUUGGGAUUCUAGUUCAUGUAAGCUGAAGAUGACCUUGGUGCACGUAACUCUUUUUGAGUGAGCUGAAUUUUGGUGCUGUUGAUUAUUGCUUGGACACAAGGAGGACGAAAGAGCAAAUGAAGACAUGGUUAUUUUGGAUAUUGGCUGUUAAUUUCUGCUGUUGGAUUUCUGCUGUUAACUGUUUGCCUGUUGGAUGACUGUAUUAUUGGAAUAUUUUGGGGAAGUUUGGAUUACUGUUGGAAGCAUUUUUAGGCUACUGUUUUAAGAUUUUUAUGAUC